This 460-nucleotide ribosomal RNA is filed under the name uncultured bacterium. Its description in RNAcentral is "partial 16S ribosomal RNA". It matches the Rfam family "Bacterial small subunit ribosomal RNA", at positions 338 to 795 of the family's 1533-position model. The record is from RNAcentral.
CCUACGGGUGGCAGCAGUGAGGAAUAUUGGUCAAUGGACGAGAGUCUGAACCAGCCAAGUAGCGUGAAGGAUGACUGCCCUAUGGGUUGUAAACUUCUUUUAUAUGGGAAUAAAAUGUUCCACGUGUGGGAUUUUGUAUGUACCAUAUGAAUAAGGAUCGGUUAACUCCGUGCCAGCAGCCGCGGUAAUACGGAGGAUCCGAGCGUUAUCCGGAUUUAUUGGGUUUAAAGGGAGCGUAGGUGGAUUGUUAAGUCAGUUGUGAAAGUUUGCGGCUCAACCGUAAAAUUGCAGUUGAAACUGGCAGUCUUGAGUACAGUAGAGGUGGGCGGAAUUCGUGGGGUAGCGGUGAAAUGCUUAGAUAUCACGAAGAACUCCGAUUGCGAAGGCAGUUCACUGGACUGCAACUGACACUGAGGCUCGAAAGUGUGGGUAUCAAACAGGAUUAGAUACCCUUGUAGUC